This 773-nucleotide non-coding RNA is filed under the name Luehdorfia chinensis. The record is from RNAcentral. Lineage: Eukaryota; Metazoa; Arthropoda; Insecta; Lepidoptera; Papilionidae.
UAAAAAUUUAUGAUUUAAAAAAUUUAAUUUAAAUUUAUUUUACAUAUAAAUUUUAGUAUGAAUUUAUAAUUAUUUUAAUAAUAAUAAUAAAUUAUUUAUAGUAAUUAAUAUUAAAAAUUUAAGAAAUUAAGAUUUAGUAAUAUUAAAAUUAUUAACAAAUUUUGUGCCAGCAGUUGCGGUUAGACAAAAAAUAAUUUAAAUUUUAUCAGUAUAUAAUUAUUAAUAAAUAAUUUAAUUUAAAUAUUAAAUUAUUAGGUAAAAUUUUAAUUUAAUUAAAAUUUAUUUAAAAUUUAUGAUUUAUUAAAUUUUAUAAAAAACUAGGAUUAGAUACCCUAUUAUUAAAAAUUAAAUUUAUUACACUAAAAUAGUAAAUAAUGAUUUAUUGAAACUUAAAUAAUUUGGCGGUAUUUUAGUACAUUUAGAGGAAUCUGUCUAAUAAUUGAUAAUCCACGAAUAAAUUUACUUAAUUUAUAAUUUUAUAUAUCGUUGUUAAAAAAAUAUUUUUUUAUAAAAAUAAUAUUUUAAAAUUUUUAUAUAAAAUUAAUUCAGAUCAAGAUGUAGAUUAUAAUUAAGAAUAUGAUGGAUUACAAUAAUAAAAAUUAAAAUGAAUAAUAUUUUGUAAAUAAUAUUUGAAGGUGGAUUUAAAUGUAAUUUUAUUUAAUUUAAUAAAAUGAUUAUAUAUUAAAAUAUGUACAUAUUGCCCGUCGCUUUCAUUUAUAAAUUGAAAUAAGUCGUAACAUAGUAGAGGUACUGGAAAGUGUUUCUAGAAAGUU